This 312-nucleotide ribosomal RNA is filed under the name Triticum aestivum (bread wheat). Its description in RNAcentral is "partial small subunit ribosomal RNA". Lineage: Eukaryota; Viridiplantae; Streptophyta; Magnoliopsida; Poales; Poaceae. The record is from RNAcentral.
AUGCCUGAGCUGCACAAGAUAUGUGGGGAGUCCACUUCGCCUCUAUCAAUGCUGCUUCGGAAGGAGAUGGGCUCUUUAGGGGCCUUGCCAAUGCCCACGACGCCCUCACCACCACCGUUGGAUCUGAGCCAAAAGCUCGUCUUUGUUGACCAUGAUGGUGUGGAUGCUACUGUUACUCACACUCAUCUGGACAUUAGGUGGAUGGUGGCUGUGUGUGGUAAAGUUGAUAGGGUUGGUGCGAUGUCACCUAAUUCAAAGACUCUCUUCACAACAGAGCUUUGCAACUUGCUUGCCAGUUUGAAAGCGGACUAG